Cebus imitator (Panamanian white-faced capuchin) is the source of this 657-nucleotide RNA transcript. It is a transcript of the gene named H/ACA ribonucleoprotein complex subunit 2-like, with no coding region annotated. NCBI's taxonomy places the organism in Eukaryota, Metazoa, Chordata, Mammalia, Primates, Cebidae. The transcript has a single exon. The record is from RefSeq and is a predicted model, not a curated record.
AUGACCAGAAUAAAGGCAGAUCCGGAGGGCCCGAGGCUCAGGCGGAGGCGUGCUCCGGGGAGCGCACCGGCCAGCAGCUGCUGGUCAACCAGAACCCCAUCGCGCAGCCUCUGGCUUCUCGCCGCCCCACGCGGAAACUCUACAAACGCAUCAAGAAAGCUGUGAAGCAGAAGCAGAGUCGGCGCGGGGUGAAAGAGGUUCAGAAAUUUCUCCACAAAGGAGAAAAAGGGGUCAUGGUUUUGACAGAAGACACACUGCCCAUUGAGGUGUACUGCCAUCUCCCAGCCAUGUGUGAGGACCGAAAUUUGCCGUAUGUCAAUAUCGCCUCUAAGACGCGCCUGGGUGCAGCCUCGGGCUCCAAGCGCCCCACCCAUGUGAUAAUGGUCAAGCCCCAGGAGGCCGACGACGAGUGCCUGGGGGAGGUGCAGUCCCUGCCCCUGGCCCUGUGAGGGACCCCGUAGCACCUGGGCACCUGCUUCUGGAAGCUACUGGGCUGGCGGGGGGAUGACUGGCUGUCCUGCCCACCCACACUGUCCGCAUCUUCCCAGGCAGCUCUCACAGCCCAGUCAUGAAGGCAACGCCCACCUUGUCUUCAUCAGGGCCAUUUCCUGUGGAACUUAGUAAAGGCUGUUCGGAUAAUGUGGGGUGGGGAAAGUA